AUUCCUACGGUACCGUCAUCUACCCACACGUGGUAUUAUUCUUCCGUAAAAAAGCAGUUUACAACCCGUAGGGCCGUCUUCCUGCACGCGGCAUGGCUGGAUCAGUCUCUCGACCAUUGUCCAAUAUUCCUCA
This 133-nucleotide ribosomal RNA is filed under the name uncultured bacterium. RNAcentral's name for it is "partial 16S ribosomal RNA". The record is from RNAcentral.